Chelonoidis abingdonii (Abingdon island giant tortoise) is the source of this 727-nucleotide long non-coding RNA. RefSeq lists it as uncharacterized. The record is from RefSeq and is a predicted model, not a curated record. Lineage: Eukaryota; Metazoa; Chordata; Testudines; Testudinidae.
CCAGGAGGUGGCGGUGAGUGAUGAACAUUCUAUGUUAAAUGUAAAACCAGGGUGAGAUUAUCUGUUGUUUAUAGACUUCCCUAUGGCAUUCACUGCAGUGUUACAUGAGCACCCCAUAACAUUAAUGGACUUAUCCUCCACACCGAUGGGAGAGAUGGUUCGUACAACUUUCUGCUGUGGAAUCAUACAGCAAUAACCAUGGGAGCUUUGAAGGUGAAACCUCUGGCAGCAAGGAGAGGUUCCCAGAAGUGGGUGUGACCUGGCCACAGGAGCAGCUGUGCAGAAGAGGAAGGCCUGUCCCUCCCCAGCCUGGAUGGGACUAGCAACUAGAGCCCAGUGCAUGGUAGGAGCCCCUAGCUAGAGCACCCCCAGCCCUGCCCCUCUCUGACUCCAGGCCCAGUAUUAGGGGGUUAAAGGGCCUUGGGCUGACUGGGGGGUGGGGAACCAUGGUGUUCCCUAGACUACUGGGCCCUAGACAGUCAACCACCUAAAAGUAAUGAUCACCCCAUACCAUGCCACCCUCACUUCUGCGCUACUGCUGGCAACAGUACAGCUGUCGGAGCCGGGGUUCAAGGCCAGCAGCCACUGCUCUCCAGCCAUCCAGCUCUGAAGGCAGCACCGCUGCCAGCAGCAGCACUGAAGUGAGGGUGGCAACACCAUGACCCUGCCCGACUUUCGUUUGGAUUGGGAUCCUACAGUUACAACACCAUGAAAUUUACCAUUUUUU